CGGGACGGGUGAGUAACGCAUGGGUAACCCGCCUCACACAGGGGGAUAACAGUUAGAAAUGACUGCUAAUACCGCAUAACCCGAUAGGAUCGCAUGAUCCAGACGGAAAAGAUUUAUCGGUGUGAGAUGGACCCGCGUCUGAUUAGCUAGUUGGUGAGGUAACGGCCCACCAAGGCGACGAUCAGUAGCCGGCCUGAGAGGGUGAACGGCCACAUUGGGACUGAGACACGGCCCAA
RNAcentral lists this ribosomal RNA (236 nucleotides) under uncultured bacterium. RNAcentral's name for it is "partial 16S ribosomal RNA". It matches the Rfam family "Bacterial small subunit ribosomal RNA", at positions 100 to 334 of the family's 1533-position model. The record is from RNAcentral.